GGAAUUGACGGGGGCCCGCACAAGCGGUGGAGCAUGUGGUUUAAUUCGACGCAACGCGCAGAACCUUACCAGCCCUUGACAUGUCCAGGACCGGUCGCAGAGAUGUGACCCUCUCUUCGGAGCCUGGAGCACAGGUGCUGCAUGGCUGUCGUCAGCUCGUGUCGUGAGAUGUUGGGUUAAGUCCCGCAACGAGCGCAACCCCCGUCCUUAGUUGCUACCAUUUAGUUGAGCACUCUAAGGAGACUGCCGGUGAUAAGCCGCGAGGAAGGUGGGGAUGACGUCAAGUCCUCAUGGCCCUUACGGGCUGGGCUACACACGUGCUACAAUGGCGGUGACAAUGGGAAGCAAAGGGGCAACCCCUAGCAAAUCUCAAAAAA
Molecule: ribosomal RNA, 377 nt
Filed under: uncultured bacterium
Lineage: Bacteria
Description: bacterial SSU rRNA
Rfam family: Bacterial small subunit ribosomal RNA
Source: RNAcentral